AGGAUUAUAGUUUAAAAAAAACAUUUGAUUUGCAUUCAAAAAAUAUUAUAUUAUAUUAAUUUA
RNAcentral lists this transfer RNA (63 nucleotides) under Spodoptera exigua (beet armyworm). RNAcentral describes it as "tRNA-Ala". The record is from RNAcentral. Lineage: Eukaryota; Metazoa; Arthropoda; Insecta; Lepidoptera; Noctuidae.